GAUGAACGCUGGCGGCGUGCUUUAACACAUGCAAGUCGAACGGAGUUACAUGAAACCUAGUGAUUGUAACUUAGUGGCGACGGGUGAGUAACGCGUGGGUAACCUGGCGUAUACAGGGGGGAUAACACCUUAGAAAUAGGUGCUAAUACCGCAUAAGCGCACGAAUUCGCAUGAAUUAGUGUGAAAAACUAAGGUGGUAUACGAUGGACCCGCGUCUGAUUAGCUAGUUGGUGAGGUAACGGCCACCAAGGCGACGAUCAGUAGCCGGCCUGAGAGGGUGAACGGCCACAUUGGGACUGAGACACGGCCCAAACUCCUACGGGAGGCAGCAGGUGGGGAAUAUUGGACAAUGGGGGAAACCCUGAUCCAGCGACGCCGCGUGAGUGAAGAAGUAUUUCGGUAUGUAAAGCUCUAUCAGCAGGGAAGAAAUUGACAGUACCUGACUAAGAAGCCCCGGCUAACUACGUG
This 468-nucleotide ribosomal RNA is filed under the name uncultured bacterium. RNAcentral's name for it is "bacterial SSU rRNA". It matches the Rfam family "Bacterial small subunit ribosomal RNA", at positions 28 to 507 of the family's 1533-position model. The record is from RNAcentral.